This is a long non-coding RNA of Mauremys reevesii (Reeves's turtle), 1167 nucleotides long. RefSeq lists it as uncharacterized. The record is from RefSeq and is a predicted model, not a curated record. The transcript is spliced from 4 exons. NCBI's taxonomy places the organism in Eukaryota, Metazoa, Chordata, Testudines, Geoemydidae.
CCGCCUCAGAGAACUCCAGGAAACUCUCAUGGAGAUGCUUGGUAAUCCACUGCUGCAGGUUCUUUAGCAGAGCUGCUUUAUUUCUUGCCCCAUUAACGGUAACUUUCCCGUGCCACUGUGCCAUCAUGAAGCGGGGAAGGGGAACCAUUGCUGCACACAGUCUCAGCAGAAAGACCAAGGAAUGAGUGGGCAUGGAGACCAAGUUACCCUCACACUACUUAAGGAGCAGAACAACAGACUGACAAGAUGAGAUUUCACUGAGAUGACAUGUGAGGGUGGAACAGGAGAACAAGUACAAAAUUGAAGUGGCAGCUUGCUGCUGUCAAAAGCUUGUUGUAUUUGAUCUGGAUCAUCUGAAGAGGUCUGAGCAAAAUUCAUCCCCAAUAUAAACUCCUUUGAGAAGGUGCCUUGGAGCUGGAAUCUGGCCUAACCAGCCAGGCGAAAAUUCCCCCAGUGAUGUACCUGGCUCCUACACCAACCACCUAUCCCAGUGUAGUGGGGAAUAGUGAGCUGAAGAGGGAAGUGUGAGUGGAGUGGAGUUGUGCUCUUCCAAUUCUCAUCUGGAGUAUGGUCCCUUGGGGGCCAUAUCCAACUAUUGUAAGAAAGAGAUGUCCCUAGACUACAUUGAUUUACCCUGGGGCCAUGCCAACAGAAUUGGGGAGUUGUUACUGGCUUCCAUAUGUUUUCCACUCAUUCUCCUGUAGCAAACAUAUCCCAGUGCAUGAGAAAAACUGGCUCUUUGUAUUUGGCAAGUUUUGGAUUUAUAAAUUGUGCCAAAUCCAUGUUGGUCAGGGGCAUUUACAAUAUACACUAAACCCUAACCUCUUUACCCCUUUCAAAAACAUAGGAAAGAAAGGACACUUCCCAAAAUAAAACAUAACCUUCCCUCCUACAAAGCCUCCCUGCAGCAAAUUGGCUAAGAAAAGAGAUGAGUCUCCUCCAAAGGUCCAAAUAUUGGGACCAGUUUUCCCAGAUAAUUAUAUCUAUGGAAUGUUAGCUGAUCCCAUCUGUAUCCGUGGAACAUUGUCACUCUCUCAAGCUCUUAAAUAGCCAGAACUGAGGAUGCAUAGGCAAAGGCUUAUGUAUUCAGCCAAAAGUCUGACACUGGUGGAAAUUCUGUUGCAACUUCAUUUAUUUUGAAAAUAGUUUUUACUGAAUGAAAUACGA